GUCACAGUGCUGCAGAGAUAUUGUUUAUGGCC
Molecule: non-coding RNA, 32 nt
Filed under: Homo sapiens (human)
Lineage: Eukaryota; Metazoa; Chordata; Mammalia; Primates; Hominidae
Source: RNAcentral